GAUGAACGCUGGCGGCGUGCCUAAUACAUGCAAGUCGGGCGAACGGACGAGAAGCUUGCUUCUCUGAUGUUAGCGGCGGAGGGGUGAGUAACACGUGGAUAACCUACCUAUAAGACUGGGAUAACUUCGGGACACCGGAGCUAAUAGCGGAUAAUAUUUUGAUCCGCAUGGUUCAUAAGUGAAAGACGGUGUUGCUGUAACUUAUAGCUGGAUCCGCGCUGCAUUAGCUAGUUGGUAAGGUAACGGAUUACCAAGGCAACGAUGCCUAGCCGACCUGAGAGGGGGAUCGGCCACACGGGAACUGGACCACGGACCAGGCUCCUGCGGGAGGCAGCAGUAGGGAAUCUGCCGCAGUGGGCGAAAGCCUGACGGAGCAACGCCGCGUGAGUGAUGGAGAUCUUCGGAUCGUAAAACUCUGUUAUUAGGGAAGAACAUAUGUGUAAGUAACUGUGCACAGCUUGACGGUACCUAAUCAGAAAGCCACGGCUAACUACGUG
Molecule: ribosomal RNA, 497 nt
Filed under: uncultured bacterium
Lineage: Bacteria
Description: partial 16S ribosomal RNA
Rfam family: Bacterial small subunit ribosomal RNA
Source: RNAcentral